Molecule: ribosomal RNA, 425 nt
Filed under: uncultured Alphaproteobacteria bacterium
Lineage: Bacteria; Pseudomonadati; Pseudomonadota; Alphaproteobacteria
Description: bacterial SSU rRNA
Rfam family: Bacterial small subunit ribosomal RNA
Source: RNAcentral
AACGCGAAGAACCUUACCAGGGUUUGACAUCCUGUGCUCGAUCCAGAAAUGGAUUUUCCCCGCAAGGGGCGCAGAGACAGGUGCUGCAUGGCUGUCGUCAGCUCGUGUCGUGAGAUGUUGGGUUAAGUCCCGCAACGAGCGCAACCCUCGCCUUUAGUUGCCAUCAUUCAGUUGGGCACUCUAGAGGGACCGCCGGCGGCAAGCCGGAGGAAGGUGGGGAUGAAGUCAAGUCAUCAUGGCCCUUACACCCUGGGCUACACACGUGCUACAAUGGCGGUGACAAUGGGCAGCGAGCUCGCGAGAGUCUGCUAAUCCCAAAAAACCGUCCCAGUUCAGAUUGCACUCUGCAACUCGAGUGCAUGAAGGUGGAAUCGCUAGUAAUCGCAGAACAGCAGGCUGCGGUGAAUACGUUCCCGGGCCUUGUA